CUUAACUCUAAGGUUGUUAUGUCAUAAUGUCACUACCUUUGUAUACUUAUAUUUGUUAACCUUUACUAGUGUCAUAUACACUACUUUGUUCUUGUACUCAUUCACUAAUGCCACACUUGUUUUCUAAGUGUUCAACUCUAGCACUCUUGACUCAUCAAUGCCAUUUUCUACAUUCAUAUCCACAUGUCACAUUUGUUCUCUAAAUCCACUAAGUUCUUGUCAUUUAUCAUGCAUACGUAGGGUUAUUAAAAUUCUCACAUGCAUUUGAACCCACAACAUGCAAAAAGAAGCUUACAAUUACCCUACUAU
RNAcentral lists this long non-coding RNA (309 nucleotides) under Ananas comosus (pineapple). RNAcentral describes it as "long non-coding RNA (ACOM_LNC021071)". Lineage: Eukaryota; Viridiplantae; Streptophyta; Magnoliopsida; Poales; Bromeliaceae. The record is from RNAcentral.